GUGGGGAAUAUUGGACAAUGGGGGGAACCCUGAUCCAGCCAUGCCGCGUGUGUGAAGAAGGCCUUUUGGUUGUAAAGCACUUUAAGCGAGGAGGAGGCUACCGAGAUUAAUACUCUUGGAUAGUGGACGUUACUCGCAGAAUAAGCACCGGCUAACUCUGUGCCAGCAGCCGCGGUAAUACAGAGGGUGCAAGCGUUAAUCGGAUUUACUGGGCGUAAAGCGCGCGUAGGUGGCCAAUGAAGUCAAAUGUGAAAUCCCCGAGCUUAACUUGGGAAUUGCAUUCGAUACUGGUUGGCUAGAGUAUGGGAGAGGAUGGUAUAAUUCCAGGUGUAGCGGUGAAAUGCGUAGAGAUCUGGAGGAAUACCGAUGGCGAAGGCAGCCAUCUGGCCUAAUACUGACACUGAGGUGCGAAAGCAUGGGGAGCAAACAGGAUUAGAAACCCGUGUAGUCC
RNAcentral lists this ribosomal RNA (451 nucleotides) under uncultured bacterium. RNAcentral's name for it is "partial 16S ribosomal RNA". It matches the Rfam family "Bacterial small subunit ribosomal RNA", at positions 354 to 796 of the family's 1533-position model. The record is from RNAcentral.